AGCUCCAAUAGCGUAUAUUAAAGUUGUUGCAGUUAAAAAGCUCGUAGUUGGAUUUCUGGCUGGAGCGACCGGUCCGCUCCCUCAGGGAGUGCGCACUGACGUCGUCUCCGGCCAUCCUUGCGGAGAUUGUCUCCGGCAUUAACUUGUCGGUUUCAGGACCUGCAUCGUUUACUGUGAAAAAAUUAGAGUGUUUAAAGCAGGCGUUUGCUGUGAAUACAUUAGCAUGGAAUAAUAAGAUAGGACUUUGGUUGCUAUUUUGUUGGUUUGCGCACCAGGGUAAUGAUUAAUAGGGAUAGUUGGGGGUAUUCAUAUUCAAUUGUCAGAGGUGAAAUUCUUGGAUUUAUGGAAGAUGAACUUAUGCGAAAGCAUUUACCAAGGAUGUUU
This 384-nucleotide ribosomal RNA is filed under the name uncultured eukaryote. Its description in RNAcentral is "SSU rRNA". It matches the Rfam family "Eukaryotic small subunit ribosomal RNA", at positions 587 to 969 of the family's 1831-position model. The record is from RNAcentral.